ACAAGCAGUGCGCGAGAGUCCGGUAAGGAGCGAAGCGCUUCGAGGCCGGCACCGAAGGCGCAAAUCCGCCCGGAAUCGCUCAGGUCAAGGGAGCGCACUGCGAGU
Molecule: non-coding RNA, 105 nt
Filed under: Hydrocarboniphaga effusa
Lineage: Bacteria; Pseudomonadati; Pseudomonadota; Gammaproteobacteria; Nevskiales; Nevskiaceae
Also listed under: 1 other name
Description: Glycine sequence
Rfam family: Glycine riboswitch aptamer
About the family: This family represents the bacterial glycine riboswitch. Glycine riboswitches usually consist of two metabolite-binding aptamers domains with similar structures in tandem.
Source: RNAcentral